UUUCCGUAGGUGAACCUGCGGAAGGAUCAUUACCGAGUUGGGGGCUUCUAGGCACGACUUCCCAACCUUUUUUUUACUGAACCAUUGUUGCCUCGGCGGGUCCGUAUUACGACCGCCGGGGGAUCCCCCCCAGGGGCCCCCUGGCCAGCGCCCACCGAUAGCCCAACCUUUAAAACCCUCUGUGAAUCGUGUCUUAUGUCUAAAUUUAUGAUUAAACAAUCAAAACAAAACUUUCAACAACGGAUCUCUUGGUUCUG
This 257-nucleotide unclassified non-coding RNA is filed under the name plant metagenome. RNAcentral's name for it is "partial contains small subunit ribosomal RNA, internal transcribed spacer 1, and 5.8S ribosomal RNA". The record is from RNAcentral.